UGGGGAAUUUUGGACAAUGGGCGCAAGCCUGAUCCAGCCAUGCCGCGUGCAGGAUGAAGGCCUUCGGGUUGUAAACUGCUUUUGUACGGAACGAAAAGACUCCUUCUAAUAAAGGGGGUCCAUGACGGUACCGUAAGAAUAAGCACCGGCUAACUACGUGCCAGCAGCCGCGGUAAUACGUAGGGUGCAAGCGUUAAUCGGAAUUACUGGGCGUAAAGCGUGCGCAGGCGGUGAUGUAAGACAGGUGUGAAAUCCCCGGGCUUAACCUGGGACCUGCAUUUGUGACUGUAUAGCUAGAGGACGGUAGAGGGGGAUGGAAUUCCGCGUGUAGCAGUGAAAUGCGUAGAUAUGCGGAGGAACACCGAUGGCGAAGGCAAUCCCCUGGACCUGUACUGACGCUCAUGCACGAAAGCGUGGGGAGCAAACA
RNAcentral lists this ribosomal RNA (427 nucleotides) under uncultured bacterium. RNAcentral describes it as "bacterial SSU rRNA". It matches the Rfam family "Bacterial small subunit ribosomal RNA", at positions 355 to 774 of the family's 1533-position model. The record is from RNAcentral.